CGUCUAUAUACGUAUAGCAUAUCAAUAAGCGGAGGAAAAGAAACUAACAAGGAUUCCCUUAGUAACGGCGAGUGAAGCGGGAAGAGCUCAAAUUUGAAAUCUUCAAGGUACUACCUUGACGAAUUGUAGUUUAAAGAAGUGUUUUCUGUUAGAGGAGUAGCAAAAGUUCCUUGGAAUGGGAUAUCAUAGAGGGUGAGAAUCCCGUAUUUGGUUAUUCUUUCUAGCUUUGUGAUACACUUUCAAAGAGUCGGAUUGUUUGGGAAUGCAGUCCAAAAUGGGUGGUAAAUUUCAUCUAAAGCUAAAUAUUGGCGAAAGACCGAUAGCGAACAAGUACCGUGAGGGAAAGAUGAAAAGAACUUUGAAAAGAGAGUUAAACAGUACGUGAAAUUGUCAAAAGGGAAGCGUUUGACACCAGUGUUGUUUUUCCGAAAAUCAAUUAAGAGUGGCUUGAUUUUGUGUUGUAUUGACCUUAUCAGCUUUCUUCACUCUUUUUCGAGUCUUUCUUAAUGCACUUUUCGGUUAACAAGUCAACAUCAAUUUCUUUUGUUGUAAAAGGGUAUUUGGAAGGUGGCUUUCUUUUCGGAGAAAGUGUUUAUAGCCUUAUACCUCUACAAUCGGAGAGAUUGAGGUCUGCAGCGUAGAUCCUUCGGGGCUAGAUACACUUGUGCUAAGUUAUAGCUUUUCAUAGACAACUUGUUGACUAUGUUUAGUCAUGUAGCUUACCCGCUUGUGCUAUUUUACCUACGCUUAGGAUGUUGAGUCAUCACACAUCUCU
RNAcentral lists this ribosomal RNA (775 nucleotides) under uncultured Neocallimastigales. RNAcentral's name for it is "partial large subunit ribosomal RNA". It matches the Rfam family "Eukaryotic large subunit ribosomal RNA", at positions 26 to 618 of the family's 3401-position model. The record is from RNAcentral. Lineage: Eukaryota; Fungi; Neocallimastigomycota; Neocallimastigomycetes; Neocallimastigales.